CCAUUAGCUGACUGUGAGCAUCCACUUCUGUGUUUGCCAGGCCCCGACAUAGUCUCACAAGAGACAGCUACAUCUGGGUCCUUUCGAUAAAAUCUUGCUAGUGUAUGCAAUGGUGUUAUAAGUACCGCGCGCUAACCGAUUGCGCCACUGGAGCUCCCAAAAACAUCUCUUAAUGUUGAUGCUGCCAGGGGCUACUUGAAUAAGUAAAUCAGGCUUGGGGCUGGAGUCUAUGUCCACUCUGGUAUCAGGAGUCACUGCUGUGCCUUCAUGGGGUUUCAUAAGACCAGUAUGCCUACUAAUGGAAGACUGAGGUUCCUGAAGAGAAGCCCCUGUCCACUGGGAAUCAGCACUUGUUGUCUUUUUAGGGGCGCUUAGCAUAACCUAGGUUCACUUGGGAAGAGGGACCCUCAAUUGAAGAGCUGCUUUGAUCAGGAUGCUAUGGCCAUGUCUGGGAGAGAUUGUUCAGACUGAUGAAUGACAUGAGCGGGGCCAACUCUAGGCAGGUGGACCUGGCCUUUAUAAGAAAGCUAUGAGCCACUUAGGGAUCUGGUAAGUACUGUCUCCUUAGUUUCUGCUUCAGUCCCCGCCCUGAAUUCCUUCAGUCAUGGACCGUAACCUGGAAGCAUAAGCCAAGUAGAUCUCUUCUUCCUGCAUCCAGUCAGAGUAGAAGAGCAAAAUACAGCGCUCAUCUUCUACGGGUAGACAGCAAGCAGGAUGCUCACUCCAUGGCAGCCCUGGAACAAGGCCACACUGUUGGGUCCUUGCUCACUUCCUCCCAACCACCAUGCCAGGGGAGUCCCCUACAUGCUGGUGGUCCCCUGCAGUAGUUCAUGUCCCCAGCAGACACAGAGGGAACACUAAGCUUUUCUUGGAUAGCUCCGCUGCCCACAGAGCUCUCUUUUCUCAUCUUCCUUCCUACCUCUCUGCUUUCUAGCCUCUGACCAGCAACCUGAGCAAGGAUCAUACUGCCUAAGCCUUUCCCAUGUGAAUGUUGGUGCUCCUUCCAGAGAGGAUUUCCAGUGAUACUGAACCCCCUCCCAGGGUCACCCCUUAACUGGAAUAUGGAGUGGCCGGCUGACUUUUGGGUUGAUAUUUACAUAUGCAGAGAUGCUGCCCUGUUAAGAACCUGUGUAAAUGCUUUCACUGGAGAAAGACAGUCACCUUGCGACAGAGUUCCACAAGCACUCAGAAUUUCCUGCUUCAGAACCUCGUAAGCUGACAAGUUCGAGAGACGGUCUCUAUGCGUUGGUAGUGAGAGAUGAAAGAGAUGCUUCAUCUCUACGUUCACACUGAAACCACCUCACAGGUUUGCCUGUCUGGAAAAGCCUCUGAAAGAAGUGAGGAGGGGCUAGCCUGGUUUUGCACAUUUACCAUUUGGUUAUUUUUGUUUGUUUGUUUGGUUGGUUUGGUUUUUGCUUUUGUUUAUUCAAGACAAGGUCUCUCUGUGUAGCCCUGGCUGUCCUGGAACUCACUCUGUAGACCAAGCUGGCCUUGAAUUCACAGAAUUCUGCCUGCCUCUGCCUCCCAAGUGCUGGGAUUAAAAGUGUACACCCCCA
Molecule: long non-coding RNA, 1556 nt
Filed under: Mus musculus (house mouse)
Lineage: Eukaryota; Metazoa; Chordata; Mammalia; Rodentia; Muridae
Description: predicted gene, 30122
Source: RNAcentral